AGCAGCCGCGGUAAUUCCAGCUCCAAUAGCGUAUAUUAAAGUUGUUGCAGUUAAAAAGCUCGUAGUUGAAUUUCGGGGUCAGUAGGUCGGUCGUGCCACUGGUAUGAACUGGUUUUACUGAUUCCUCCCUCUUGAAGAACUGUAAUGCCAUUAAUUUGGUGUUGCAGGGAGUCAGGACUGUUACUUUGAAAAAAGUUAGAGUGUUUAAAGCAGGCUUUAGCUUGAAUACAUUAGCAUGGAAUAAUGAAAUAGGACGUUUGAUCCUAUUUUGUUGGUUUCUAGGAUUGACGUAAUGAUUAAUAGGGAUAGUUGGGGGGCAUUAGGUAUUCAAUUGUCAGAGGUGAAAUUCUUGGAUUUAUUGAAGACUAACUACUGCGAAAGCAUUUGCCAAGGAUGUUUUCAUUAAUCAAGAACGAAAGUUAGGGGAUCGAGGACGAUCAGAUACCGUCGUAGUCUUAACCAUAAACUAUGCCGACUAGGGAUCGGAUGAUGUUAAUUUUUUUCAAUGACUCAUUCGGCG
RNAcentral lists this ribosomal RNA (520 nucleotides) under uncultured Glomus. RNAcentral's name for it is "SSU rRNA". It matches the Rfam family "Eukaryotic small subunit ribosomal RNA", at positions 569 to 1085 of the family's 1831-position model. Lineage: Eukaryota; Fungi; Glomeromycota; Glomeromycetes; Glomerales; Glomeraceae. The record is from RNAcentral.